AUUAACACGUGGGUAACCUGCCUGUAAGACUGGGAUACUCCGGGAACCGGAGCUAAUACCGGAUAGUUCCUUGAACCGCAUGGUUCAAGGAUGAAAGACGGUUUCGGCUGUCACUUACAGAUGGACCCGCGGCGCAUUAGCUAGUUGGUGAGGUAACGGCUCACCAAGGCGACGAUGCGUAGCCGACCUGAGAGGGUGAUCGGCCACACUGGGACUGAGACACGGCCCAGACUCCUACGGGAGGCAGCAGUAGGGAAUCUUCCGCAAUGGACGAAAGUCUGACGGAGCAACGCCGCGUGAGUGAUGAAGGUUUUCGGAUCGUAAAGCUCUGUUGUUAGGGAAGAACAAGUGCAAGAGUAACUGCUUGCACCUUGACGGUACCUAACCAGAAAGCCACGGCUAACUACGUGCCAGCAGCCGCGGUAAUACGUAGGUGGCAACGUUGUCGGAUAUUGGGCGUAAGGGCUCGCAGGCGGUUUCUUAAGUCUGAUGUGAAAGCCCCCGGCUCAACCGGGGAGGGUCAUUGGAAACUGGGAAACUUGAGUGCAGAAGAGGAGAGUGGAAUUCCACGUGUAGCGGUGAAAUGCGUAGAGAUGUGGAGGAACACCAGUGGCGAAGGCGACUCUCUGGUCUGUAACUGACGCUGAGGAGCGAAAGCGUGGGGAGCGAACAGGAUUAGAUACCCUGGUAGUCCACGCCGUAAACGAUGAGUGCUAAGUGUUAGGGGGUUUCCGCCCCUUAGUGCUGCAGCUAACGCAUUAAGCACUCCGCCUGGGGAGUACGGUCGCAAGACUGAAACUCAAAGGAAUUGACGGGGGCCCGCACAAGCGGUGGAGCAUGUGGUUUAAUUCGAAGCAACGCGAAGAACCUUACCAGGUCUUGACAUCCUCUGACAACCCUAGAGAUAGGGCUUUCCCUUCGGGGACAGAGUGACAGGUGGUGCAUGGUUGUCGUCAGCUCGUGUCGUGAGAUGUUGGGUUAAGUCCCGCAACGAGCGCAACCCUUGAUCUUAGUUGCCAGCAUUCAGUUGGGCACUCUAAGGUGACUGCCGGUGACAAACCGGAGGAAGGUGGGGAUGACGUCAAAUCAUCAUGCCCCUUAUGACCUGGGCUACACACGUGCUACAAAUGGACAGAACAAAAGGGCUGCGAGACCGCAAGGUUUAGCCAAUCCCACAAAUCUGUUUCUCAGU
Molecule: ribosomal RNA, 1192 nt
Filed under: Bacillus sp. (in: firmicutes)
Lineage: Bacteria; Bacillati; Bacillota; Bacilli; Caryophanales; Bacillaceae
Description: bacterial SSU rRNA
Rfam family: Bacterial small subunit ribosomal RNA
Source: RNAcentral